UUUAUGGCUCAUGAUGAACGCUAGCUACAGGCCUAACACAUGCAAGUCGAGGGGCAGCAUGGCGGUCGCUUGCGACCGCUGAUGGCGACCGGCGAAUGGGUGAGUAACGCGUAUCCAACCUGCCCCGCGCCCGGGGAUAGCCCUUGGAAAUGAGGAUUAAGACCCGAUACGUGGCGCCGCCGCAUGGCGGCUCCAUGAAACAGACGCGGGAUGGGGAUGCGUUGGAUUAGCCAGCCGGCAGGGCAGCGGCCUACCGGGGCGACGAUCCAUAGGGGUUCUGAGAGGAAGGUCCCCCACACUGGCACUGAGACACGGGCCAGACUCCUACGGGAGGCAGCAGUGAGGAAUAUUGGUCAAUGGGCGAGAGCCUGAACCAGCCAAGUAGCGUGCAGGAUGACGGCCCUAUGGGUUGUAAACUGCUUUUGCGGGAGAAUAACCGGCGCCACGCGUGGCGCCCUGCAUGUAUCCCGCGAAUAAGGACCGGCUAAUUCCGUGCCAGCAGCCGCGGUAAUACGGAAGGUCCGGGCGUUAUCCGGAUUUAUUGGGUUUAAAGGGAGCGCAGGCGGAGGAUCAAGCCAGCCGUGAAAUGGCGGCGCUCAACGCCGUCCGGCGGUUGGAACUGGUCCCCUUGAUUGCGGGAGAGGAAGGCGGAACUCGUGGUGUAGCGGUGAAAUGCAUAGAUAUCACGAAGAACCCCGAUUGCGAAGGCAGCCUUCCGGCCCGUUAAUGACGCUCAUGCUCGAAGGCGCGGGUAUCGAACAGGAUUAGAUACCCUGGUAGUCCGCGCGGUAAACGAUGAAUGCUCGGGAUUCGGCCGUUAUGGCUGAGUCCCCCAGCGAAAGCGUUAAGCAUUCCACCUGGGGAGUACGCCGGCAACGGUGCAACUCAAAGGAAUUGACGGA
RNAcentral lists this ribosomal RNA (902 nucleotides) under uncultured Bacteroidota bacterium. RNAcentral describes it as "bacterial SSU rRNA". It matches the Rfam family "Bacterial small subunit ribosomal RNA", at positions 16 to 917 of the family's 1533-position model. The record is from RNAcentral. Lineage: Bacteria; Pseudomonadati; Bacteroidota.